This 1072-nucleotide long non-coding RNA is filed under the name Chloebia gouldiae (Gouldian finch). Its description in RNAcentral is "Erythrura gouldiae (Gouldian finch) lncRNA (ENSEGOG00005000250.1)". Lineage: Eukaryota; Metazoa; Chordata; Aves; Passeriformes; Passeridae. The record is from RNAcentral.
CUUGCAAGAGGUGUACAAUAACUGAUGCUGUUGACUUUUCUCCCCUCUCUCUGUAGACAGACAGCUACCACCUGGCUUGCCUUGAGGAAACAAUCCAACAAACCCAACCCCUAGAGGACAGUGUGCUGAGGCUGUUUCACUGUCCCCCGAAGCUGGCUGGGUUAACUGGCUGGUGCAAUGCUGUGUCUGCAUACAAGUGCCAGCUCCAAGGGCAGGGAAGGGCUGCUCUGCAUUCCCACUUAACCUGCUGGCUCUCUGGCAGCAUGGCAAAGCAGCAGAAGUCUCAUGGCUUGUGCUGAAUGGAUUUCAUUGCUAGCAAUCUGUUCCCUAAGCAGACCUGCAGCUUCAAUAUUCUCUCUUCCACCAUGUCUGCAGGAAAACAUGUUCCCCCUGAGGAACAAACACCAAGCAAGCCAGGAGAGGUGGUAUUUUCUCCUGGUGAAAUUAUGGCUAAAAAGCUCCAUGCAGCUUUUCCAGAGCUGUGAGGCUUUGCCACAGAUGGGGCCUGUUGGAUGUGCUUGGAGUGUGCUUCCUGCCCUGCCACCUACCACGAUGCUCGAUUCACUCUGAACUCCAGGACCUCCUCUGGGUGUUCUUGUACAAGAGCUAGAGCUUCUCUAUGUGAAGGACAUCUUGGAUUUCUAAAAGCAUAACCCUAAGGCUACAAAAGGACAGAGAAAAUGCAAGAGGUAGAACGAGGAAUACUCAGUACCUCUCUGUACUUGUUUCAUGCAGGAGAUCCCAUAAAGAAGAUAAUGCGAUAUGACAGUUUCACUACACUGAACCUCCUUUUUUGCCUGAAAAACUAUUUUUCUUAGAAAUUUACCUGGAAAUGGGCUUAUGACUCUCAUUGGUAUGUUAAUUUCCUUGCAUUAAUUGGAAACUGCUAUAUGGAAUUAUUUGUGUUAAUGUAUUUGGGGUCUUUAUUGCAGAUGCUCUGUGCUUAUCUUGCAUGAGGAGUGAGCAAUUUAUCUUGUGUUUUUUCGGAAUUCCUCUAGUGAAAAUACUAGAAAUUUUGAUAGUACUUGGGGCAUGGAAUAAAUUCCAUAAAAAUCAGGUCUUUAGUUUUAUA